ACUCCAGCGCCCUCACGUGGCUGCCAGGUGCCGGCGGCAGCAGCAAUGCUUCCUGACCACAUACUGCUGGUGGCACUAAGCAAUUCCACGUGGAGCAGGGACAGAUGCAGAACGUUCAGAAAAGGGGUGUUGCCUCUGCCGCAGAAAUGAGGUAAAUACCUAUAAAAUAUUUUAAGUAAAAAUCGUUUCCCUCACCUUGAGCCCUCAUAUCUCCCGUUCCUCUCAUAUUCAGUUGGAAGCCUCAAUGAAUAGAAUGCAGAAGCACAGAGAAGUGGGAAAGAGAAAAGAUAUCUUACAACCAGUACACGACCAACCCAAAGAUAAACACAGACAUUAUAAAAUGAACAAAUCCAAAGCACUUUUUUUUGGUCACCAGCUGAGCUUAUUAAAACUCCUACUCUUGUAGGUGUGACUCUGCCAGAGGCCACCGCCAUGAGUUCAUGAAGGCCGUGCAGGAGGCUGGCUACACACCUGCUUCACAUACACAACAGGUAUUCCUGCCCAGCUCUGGAAUCUGCGCACACUCACGGCCUUCAACUGGAGGUAUAAAGAGGAGGAAGCUACAGGAUUAAGGCUCUCACACUCCGCCCGGGACCACGUGGAUGGCUCCCAGGAGCACAGAGGCACCUGCGCUUGUGCCCGGGCUGUCCUGCCUGCAGAGUAUGGGUGACUCUGAGUGCCCUGAGCCCACAGCUCUCUAAAGCUCUCACAACAUCCAGGGCACAGCCAGGAGCAGAGGGCGAGUUUUCUGAUGCCAGUCCCACCACGUCACAGCAGGUCUCCUUGUGGCAUCUACGUGCCAACACCUGAGCCUUUCCUGCACUAGAACUUUAACCCUCACAAUUAUUGUUAGGAGAGGGUAAGAAGCUGAUGCUGCGGCAGCAAGGACUCUGUUUUUAAGAAUGAACUGACUAAAACUGAAGUACAGCACCAAGGGAGGCUACAGGUCUCAGUCUGCAAACUAACAGAAGACUUUCUGUAAAAAUUUUGGGGUGGAAAUUAUAAAAUCAGAUGAGCCCCUCUAGAAUAUUUUUAACAAGAAGCCUCAGCCUUCACUUUCAAUUCAAAUACAUGAAAUAAAUUUAAUUCUAAAAUGUGG
Long non-coding RNA from Aethalodelphis obliquidens (Pacific white-sided dolphin), 1099 nucleotides. RefSeq lists it as uncharacterized. NCBI's taxonomy places the organism in Eukaryota, Metazoa, Chordata, Mammalia, Artiodactyla, Delphinidae. The transcript has 2 exons. The record is from RefSeq and is a predicted model, not a curated record.